GAUGAACGCUGGCGGCGUGCCUAAUACAUGCAAGUCGAGCGAACAGACGAGGAGCUUGCUCCUCUGACGUUAGCGGCGGACGGGUGAGUAACACGUGGAUAACCUACCUAUAAGACUGGGAUAACUUCGGGAAACCGGAGCUAAUACCGGAUAAUAUAUUGAACCGCAUGGUUCAAUAGUGAAAGACGGUUUUGCUGUCACUUAUAGAUGGAUCCGCGCCGCAUUAGCUAGUUGGUAAGGUAACGGCUUACCAAGGCGACGAUGCGUAGCCGACCUGAGAGGGUGAGCGGCCACACUGGAACUGAGACACGGUCCAGACUCCUACGGGAGGCAGCAGUAGGGAAUCUUCCGCAAUGGGCGAAAGCCUGACGGAGCAACGCCGCGUGAGUGAUGAAGGUCUUCGGAUCGUAAAACUCUGUUAUUAGGGAAGAACAAAUGUGUAAGUAACUAUGCACGUCUUGACGGUACCUAAUCAGAAAGCCACGGCUAAUUACGUG
This 497-nucleotide ribosomal RNA is filed under the name uncultured bacterium. RNAcentral's name for it is "partial 16S ribosomal RNA". It matches the Rfam family "Bacterial small subunit ribosomal RNA", at positions 28 to 507 of the family's 1533-position model. The record is from RNAcentral.